AAAGUCGUAACAAGGUCUCCGUUGGUGAACCAGCGGAGGGAUCAUUACUGAGUUUACUCAACUCCCAACCUUUGUGAACAUACCAUUGUUGCUUCGGCGGGACCGCCUGCGAAGGCACCCGCCGAGGGACCCAAACUCUUGUUUUCCAGUGGAUUAUCUGAGUGAUUUACCAAAUAAAUCAAAACUUUCAGCAACGGAUCUCUUGGUUCUG
This 211-nucleotide unclassified non-coding RNA is filed under the name Ascomycota sp. RNAcentral describes it as "partial contains small subunit ribosomal RNA, internal transcribed spacer 1, and 5.8S ribosomal RNA". The stretch from base 1 to 47 matches the Rfam family "Eukaryotic small subunit ribosomal RNA", at positions 1785 to 1831 of the family's 1831-position model. The record is from RNAcentral. Lineage: Eukaryota; Fungi; Ascomycota.